CCUACGGGAGACAGCAGUGGGGAAUAUUGCACAAUGGGGGAAACCCUGAUGCAGCGACGCCGCGUGAGUGAAGAAGUAUUUCGGUAUGUAAAGCUCUAUCAGCAGGGAAGAAGAAAGACGGUACCUGACUAAGAAGCCCCGGCUAACUACGUGCCAGCAGCCGCGGUAAUACGUAGGGGGCAAGCGUUAUCCGGAUUUACUGGGUGUAAAGGGAGCGUAGACGGCUGUGCAAGUCUGAAGUGAAAGCCCGGGCUCAACCCUGGGACUGCUUUGGAAACUGUGGAGCUAGAGUGCUGGAGAGGUAAGUGGAAUUCCUAGUGUAGCGGUGAAAUGCGUAGAUAUUAGGAGGAACACCAGUGGCGAAGGCGGCUUACUGGACAGUAACUGACGUUGAGGCUCGAAAGCGUGGGGAGCAAACAGGAUUAGAUACCCCUGUAGUC
RNAcentral lists this ribosomal RNA (440 nucleotides) under uncultured bacterium. Its description in RNAcentral is "partial 16S ribosomal RNA". It matches the Rfam family "Bacterial small subunit ribosomal RNA", at positions 338 to 795 of the family's 1533-position model. The record is from RNAcentral.